RNAcentral lists this ribosomal RNA (450 nucleotides) under uncultured bacterium. Its description in RNAcentral is "partial 16S ribosomal RNA". It matches the Rfam family "Bacterial small subunit ribosomal RNA", at positions 338 to 795 of the family's 1533-position model. The record is from RNAcentral.
CCUACGGGGGGCUGCAGUAGGGAAUAUUGGACAAUGGGCGAAAGCCUGAUCCAGCCAUGCCGCGUGAUAGAUGAAGGCCCUCUGGGUUGUAAAUAUCUUUUAUCUGGGAAGAAACAAUCUUAUUCUUAAGAUCUUGACGGUACCAGAGGAAUAAGCACCGGCUAACUCCGUGCCAGCAGCCGCGGUAAUACGGAGGGUGCAAGCGUUAUCCGGAUUCACGGGGGCGUAGGCGUGCUGAGGCGUCAGUAGAGAAAGCUCCGGGCGUAACUUGGAAACUGCAAUUGAUACUGCCAGUCUUGAAUGUCGUAGAGGUAAGCGGAAUGUUGCAUGUAGCGGUGAAAUGCUUAGAUAUGUUACAGAACACCAAUUGCGAAGGCAGCUUACUAUGCGAUGAUUGACGCUGAGGCACGAAAGCGUGGGGAGCAAACAGGAUUAGAUACCCCAGUAGUC